ACGUUGUUCGGAAUCACUGGGCGUAAAGGGCGCGUAGGCGGAUCGGUAAGUCAGAGGUGAAAGCCUGGGGCUCAACUCCAGGACUGCCUUUGAAACUGCCGUUCUAGAGUUCAGGAGAGGAAGGCGGAAUUCCAGGUGUAGCGGUGGAAUGCGUAGAUAUCUGGAAGAACACCAGUGGCGAAGGCGGCCUUCUGGACUGACACUGACGCUGAGGCGCGAAAGCUAG
This 226-nucleotide ribosomal RNA is filed under the name uncultured bacterium. RNAcentral's name for it is "partial 16S ribosomal RNA". It matches the Rfam family "Bacterial small subunit ribosomal RNA", at positions 538 to 763 of the family's 1533-position model. The record is from RNAcentral.